This 410-nucleotide unclassified non-coding RNA is filed under the name soil metagenome. RNAcentral describes it as "partial contains 5.8S ribosomal RNA, internal transcribed spacer 2, and large subunit ribosomal RNA". The stretch from base 1 to 121 matches the Rfam family "5.8S ribosomal RNA", at positions 35 to 154 of the family's 154-position model. The record is from RNAcentral.
GAUGAAGAACGUAGCGAAAUGCGAUAAGUAGUGUGAAUUGCAGAAGUACCGUGAAUCAUCGAAUCUUUGAACGCAAAUUGCACUCUCCGGUAUUCCGGGGAGUAUGCCUGUUUGAGGGUCGCUUAACAAACCAUCGAUUUCGUUGCUUUUUUUUUAAAAAGUGAUGUUUAUCGGAUUUGAGCCGUCUUUUUUUUUUAUAUUUAAGUGGCUUAAAAUUGAUUUUUUUGGUACGAUCGAAGCGUAUUUUUAUGAUCAAUUUUUGGUUAAAGAAACGCACACGUACCGUUAUUUAUAUGAUGUAAUACGUUUGACUAUUGGAUUUAGUUCAUUCGUAUACGAUAUUUUUCAAUAUUUGACCUCAAAUCAGGUAAGAACACCCGCUGAACUUAAGCAUAUCAAUAAGCGGAGGA